Molecule: ribosomal RNA, 423 nt
Filed under: uncultured bacterium
Lineage: Bacteria
Description: partial 16S ribosomal RNA
Rfam family: Bacterial small subunit ribosomal RNA
Source: RNAcentral
GAAUCUUCCACAAUGGACGAAAGUCUGAUGGAGCAAUGCCGCGUGAGUGAAGAAGGUUUUCGGAUCGUAAAACUCAGUUGUGAGGGAAGAACAAGUACGAGAGUAACUGCUCGUACCUUGACGGUACCUCAGUAGAACGUCACGGCUAACUACCGCCCCGCAGCCGCGGUCAUACGUAGGUGGCAAGCGUUGUCCGGAAUUAUUGGGCGUAAAGCGCGCGCAGGCGGUCCCUUAAGUCUGAUGUGAAAUCCCACGGCUCAACCGUGGAAGGUCAUUGGAAACUGGGGGACUUGAGUACAGAAGAGGAAAGCGGAAUUCCAAGUGUAGCGGUGAAAUGCGUAGAGAUUUGGAGGAACACCAGUGGCGAAGGCGGCUUUCUGGUCUGUAACUGACGCUGAGGCGCGAAAGCGUGGGGAGCAAACA